CCCUUAGAUGUUCUGGGCGGCCCGCGCACUACAAUGGCGCUUUCAGCGAGUUCCUAUGUUGAAUUUUCCUGGGUAUUCUUGGAAGCGGCGUCGUGACUUGGGAUAGAUCCUUGUAAUUGUUGGUUUUGAACGAGGAAUUCCUUGUAAUCGCGGUUGAUCAGCUCGCGUUGAAUACGUCCCUGCCCUUUGUACACACCGCCCGUCGCUCCUACCGAUGAAUCGUCCGGUGAAGUUCACAGAGUGGCGGUUCGUGGAGUUGCUCGCGAAGUGAAAUGGACCUCACGAUUUAGAGGAAGGAGAAGUCGUAACA
This 310-nucleotide ribosomal RNA is filed under the name uncultured eukaryote. RNAcentral's name for it is "partial 18S ribosomal RNA". It matches the Rfam family "Eukaryotic small subunit ribosomal RNA", at positions 1470 to 1796 of the family's 1831-position model. The record is from RNAcentral.